GACGAACGCUGGCGGCGUGCUUAACACAUGCAAGUCGAACGGUAAGGCCCCAGCUUGCUGGGGUACACGAGUGGCGAACGGGUGCGUAACACGUGGGCGACCUGCCCCGCACUUCGGGAUAAGCCUGGGAAACUGGGCCUAAUACAGGAUCGGACCGCACCGAGGGGGUGAGGUGGAAAGUUUUUCGGCGUGGGCUGGGCCCGCGGCCUAUCGGCUUGUUGGUGGGGUAAUGGCCUAAGAAGGCGGCGACGGGUAGCCGGCCUGGGAGGGUGGACGGCCACAUUGGGCCUGAGACACGGCCCAGAGUCCUACGGGAGGCAGCAGUGGGGAAUAUUGCACAAUGGGCGGAAGCCUGAUGCAGCGACGCCGCGUUGGGGAUGACGGCCUUCGGGUUGUAAACUCCUUUCGCCAUCGACGAAGGUUUUCUGACGGUAGAUGGAGAAGAAGCACCGGCUAACUACGUG
RNAcentral lists this ribosomal RNA (464 nucleotides) under uncultured bacterium. RNAcentral's name for it is "partial 16S ribosomal RNA". It matches the Rfam family "Bacterial small subunit ribosomal RNA", at positions 28 to 507 of the family's 1533-position model. The record is from RNAcentral.